Molecule: long non-coding RNA, 1261 nt
Organism: Oreochromis aureus
Lineage: Eukaryota; Metazoa; Chordata; Actinopteri; Cichliformes; Cichlidae
Exons: 2
Source: RefSeq, a predicted model, not a curated record
UUUUGCUGCUUCACUUGUUACCUCCAACAUCUAAGGAGGGAAGUCUUCAAAGAUUAGCACAUCAGAUGCUGCUCACCACCUAAUGAAAUUCAUCAAGGUGGGAGGUAGCACGGAGGCUUUUCUUAAGGCUGGCCCCACUCAGCCAUUCGUCCUGUGUGUUGGAGAAAGAAAGAACAUCAUCCAGAGUUUCUACAUUGUCCUAGAUCAAAAGGUCAUUCCCUGUGUGACACAGAUGGGAGUUGCAGGUUUUGACAAGGCAAAACUUUUCAAGGCACAUUUUUUAUUUGCCGUGUCCUUUGACAAGGCAUUGAACAACUUCUACACAUUCAUCCAGACCACCGUGUAUGGCAUUGAUGUUGGCAGUGUGAAGGAGAGUCCUCGGGUCAGGGAAACAAGAGGAAGUCUUCAUUGUACAGUUUAAAGAUAUCCACUAUUCAGCACUUUGACUGGAAAUGUUCAUCUGUUACAUUUGCAAGAUACACCACACAAGUUGCUCAGUGUUAUUUAGACAUUUGAAGUUCCAGCAUGGUUUGUACCCAGGAAGGUUUUUACGUUUGACCUGUGGAGAGCCUGGAUGUUCAUUCAUCUUUCGCACGUACUCUGAUUACAAGCGGCACUUACUCCGAGCACAUGGAGACUGUCUUCACUCUGAGGUCAUCAAUACUUUUGAGCCUGUACCUAACGAUGGAACCUCUGUUUCACAGCCUGUAAAUGUGGCUCAUCCCAUGACAAUUACUACACAGGUUCCAGUUGAAAAAAGGCAAAUACUGAACAUGUGCAGCUCUGUUAUUGCUCAGGUACAAUCAUUAGGAGUUCCUGAAAGUACUGUGCAGUGUUUAGUUGUUUCAUUGGAGGAACUGGUUAAUGACAUCCAUGCGCAUGCAAAACAAUCUGUUGUUGACUGUUUGUCAACUGAUACCAUGAUACAGACAUCAAGUUGGGAUGUAUGUUUGUUCUGGUGUUGAAAAUGAGAUGCCUUUGUUCAGUAAGAUUGUCAAUAUAAUUAUUAGAUUGCAAUGCUUAUCUUCUAACUUGUAAGGCUUCAACAGUAUAUUUCAAUGAGCACUUAAAUGCAUUUGUUAUUGAGGAUGGAUUAGAUGUCUUUGCACUGAUCUCUGUAGAUGAUCUAGUGUACUAUAGACCUUAUGAUAGGCAAUUUUCAAAUGGCACUGAUGACAAAAUGUACAUUGUCCCAUACUGUAAUUUUGUAUAACUUGUUUAUUUGUGGUGUAUCAGAAUACAAAGUGUUUUGGAACGUUAA